GACGAACGCUGGCGGCGUGCUUAACACAUGCAAGUCGAACGGAAAGGCCCUGCUUUUGUGGGGUGCUCGAGUGGCGAACGGGUGAGUAACACGUGAGUAACCUGCCCUUGACUUUGGGAUAACUUCAGGAAACUGGGGCUAAUACCGGAUAGGAGCUCCUGCUGCAUGGUGGGGGUUGGAAAGUUUCGGCGGUUGGGGAUGGACUCGCGGCUUAUCAGCUUGUUGGUGGGGUAGUGGCUUACCAAGGCUUUGACGGGUAGCCGGCCUGAGAGGGUGACCGGCGACAUUGGGACUAAGAGACGGCCCAGAGUCCUACGGGAGGCAGCAGUGGGGAAUAUUGCACAAUGGGCGGAAGCGUGAUGCAGCAACGCCGCGUGCGGGAUGACGGCCUUCGGGUUGUAAACCGCUUUCGCCUGUGACGAAGCGUGAGUGACGGUAAUGGGUAAAGAAGCACCGGCUAACUACGUG
This 468-nucleotide ribosomal RNA is filed under the name uncultured bacterium. RNAcentral's name for it is "partial 16S ribosomal RNA". It matches the Rfam family "Bacterial small subunit ribosomal RNA", at positions 28 to 507 of the family's 1533-position model. The record is from RNAcentral.